RNAcentral lists this ribosomal RNA (427 nucleotides) under uncultured bacterium. RNAcentral describes it as "bacterial SSU rRNA". It matches the Rfam family "Bacterial small subunit ribosomal RNA", at positions 355 to 774 of the family's 1533-position model. The record is from RNAcentral.
UGGGGAAUUUUGGACAAUGAGCGCAAGCCUGAUCCAGCAAUGCCGCGUGCAGGAUGAAGGCCUUCGGGUUGUAAACUGCUUUUGUCAGGGAAGAAAUCCUUUGAGCUAAUACCUCGGGGGGAUGACGGUACCUGAAGAAUAAGCACCGGCUAACUUCGUGCCAGCAGCCGCGGUAAUACGAAGGGUGCAAGCGUUACUCGGAAUUACUGGGCGUAAAGCGUGCGCAGGCGGUUUUGUAAGACAGAGGUGAAAUCCCCGGGCUCAACCUGGGAAUUGCCUUUGUGACUGCAUCGCUGGAGUGCGGCAGAGGGGGAUGGAAUUCCGCGUGUAGCAGUGAAAUGCGUAGAUAUGCGGAGGAACACCGAUGGCGAAGGCAAUCCCCUGGGCCUGCACUGACGCUGAUGGACGAAAGCGUGGGGAGCGAACA